This is a non-coding RNA of Microcebus murinus (gray mouse lemur), 1939 nucleotides long. Lineage: Eukaryota; Metazoa; Chordata; Mammalia; Primates; Cheirogaleidae. The record is from RefSeq and is a predicted model, not a curated record.
AUGCAGCGAAUGGUAGCGCUGAGUGAGAUGACCCCAGCUCAGGGAAGGACCCAGGUUCUGCCUCUGGCCCCUCAGUUACUGCGCUACUCCCCAAGACUCUCUUCCUCUAUUGCACGUCUAGGACCAUCCCUAGAAGGCAGUGCUCCGGCAACCUGGACAGCGCGGCAGCUGCUCUUCGAAGUGUUCGACACCACUGUCGCCACCGUGAGUCGCAACUAUGAUGAUGAGCUGCAGUUCUUGGAAAAGAUCAAAUAAAAACUGCUGGAGGAUCAAAAAGGGCUUCAUGCCCAACAUGCAGGUUGAAGGAGUUUUCUACGUGAAUGAUGCUCUGGAGAAAUUAAUGUUUGAGGAAUUAAGGAAUGCCUGUGGAAGUGGUGGUGUUGGUGGCUUCCUGCCAGCCAUGAAACAGAUUGGCAAUGUGGCAGCCCUGCCUGGGAUUGUUCAUCGAUCUAUUGGGCUUCCUCAUGUCCAUUCUGGCUAUGGGGUUUGCUAUUGGGAAUAUGGCAGCCUUUGACAUGAAUGACCCUGAAGUAGUGGUAUCCCCAAGUGGUGUUGGAUUUGAUAUCAACUGUGGUGUCUGCUUGCUAAGAACCAAUUUAGAUGAAAGCGAUGUCCAGCCUGUGAAGGAGCAACUUGCCCAGGCUAUGUCUGACCACAUUCCUGUUGGGGGCAGGAUCAAAAGUUGUCAUCCCAAUGAAUGCCAAAGAUUUAGAGGAGGCCUUGGAUAUGGGUGUGGACUGGUCCCUAAGAUAAGGCUAUGCCUGGGCUGAAGACAAGGAGCACUGUGAGGAGUAUGGAAGGAUGCUACAAGCUGAUCCCAAUAAAGUCUCUGCAAGGGCUAAAAAAAAGAGGCCUUCCUCAGUUGGGGACCCUGGGAGCAGGCAACCACUAUGCAGAAAUCCAGGUUGUGGAUGAGAUUUUCAAUGAGUACACUGCUAAGAAAAUGGGCAUCGACCAUAAGGGACAGGUGUGUGUAAUGAUCCACAGUGGAAGCAGAGGCUUGGGCCACCAAGUAGCCACAAAUGCGCUGGUAGCUAUGGAAAAGGCCAUGAAGAGAGACAAGAUUAUAGUCAAUGACCGUCAGUUGGCUUGUGCACAAAUCGCUUCCCCAGAAGGUCGGGACUACCUGAAGGGAAUGGCAGCAGCUGGGAACUAUACCUGGGUCAACCGCUCUUCCAUGACCUCCUUAACCCAUCAGGCUUUUGCCAAGGUCUUCAACACAACGCUUGAUGACUUAGACCUUCAUGUGAUCUAUGUUGUUUCUCACAACAUUGCCAAAGUAGAGCAGCAUGUGGUGGAUGGAAAGGAACGGACACCGUUAGUGCACAGAAGGGAUCCACCCGCACUUUCCCUCCUCACCAUCCCCUCAUUGCUGUUGAUUACCAAGUUACUGGACAACCAGUGCUUAUUGGCGGCACCAUGGGAACCUGUAGUUACUUUCUUACAGGCACUGAACAAGGCAUGACUGAGACCUUUGGAACAACCUGUCAUGGAGUGGGCCGUGCAUUGUCCCGAGCAAAAUCUCGACGUAAUUUAAAUUUCCAGAAUAUCUUAGACAAAUUGGCAGACAUGGGGAUCGCAAUCCAUGUUGCCUCACCCAAACUGGUUAUGGAAGAGGCUCCUGAGUCCUAUAAGAACGUGACAGAUGUGGUGAACACCUGCCAUGAUGCUGCCAUCAGCAAGAAGGCCAUUAAACCGAGCCCCAUCGCUGUCAUCAAAGGAUAGAACCUGAACAACAGGACUGCAGACACCACUGACCUUCUCUAGUGGAAGUGAACUAAAGCGCUCUUCAGACAUCAAACUCGAGAACUGACAGGUUCCAAAGUAUGCAGCUAUAACUGCUCAUGCCAGAAUGGCUGCCAGGGAGGCUGCUGCUUUUAGGAGCCAGAAUUUUAAAAUCACUUCUGGGAGGAGGCACGUUGCCCCCAUUUGGAAAGGG